RNAcentral lists this non-coding RNA (28 nucleotides) under Callithrix jacchus (white-tufted-ear marmoset). The record is from RNAcentral. RNAcentral also lists the same sequence under 1 other name. Lineage: Eukaryota; Metazoa; Chordata; Mammalia; Primates; Cebidae.
UGCUAUGAUACAGAGACUCGACAGUGGC